UCAAGUGGGGGAAGUCAAGGUAGCAGAAGCUUGGCAGAGCUGGUCACCUCCCAUCCGCAAUCAGGAAGAAGAGAGCACUAAGAGCUUGGCUCCAUCUCCUCUUUCUUCAGUCUGUGCUCCCAACCCAUGGGACGGUGCCACACACACACUUGGCAGGGCAGGUCUAGAUAUUCCCUCACAGGUUUGUCUCAUCUCCUAAGCGAGGAUCCACCCAACUCACGUUUUGAGAUAGAAUCCCUUGCUGGCCUUGAGCUCACAGAUCCACCGAGGCGGAGUGGCCAGUGGGGCCCAAGACUCUGCCUAUCUUCCUACCCAGCGCCGUCCUUGAAGUCCUGUUGUCACUUGACUGUGGAUCAAUCUUGUACCUCAAGCCCCUAACAAUGUGUGAGCAAUUAGAGCAUAAGGCUUCCUCACAGGAAGUCUCUCCCUGACUGAGUAUCUACCCAGUUCAACUCACUGAAUCGCCACAGUGCCCAGAACAGUGUCUAACACAUGCAAUGAACUAUAUAGUGCUAUCUGUGGAAUACCGAGUAGUUUGAACAUAAUCAGCAGAUCUCACCCGACAAGGACAAGGUGAUAUGCCACACUUGGGAAAAGGCUCACUGGGUCAAAGGUCAGAGGCAAAAGUCUCUGCAUUUGAUUCUUCAGCACCACAUAAAACCAGGCCUGGCAAUGCAUGCCUGUCAUCCCAGAGUUCAGAAGAUUGGAGAAGAGGAAAGAAGCUCGAGAUCAUCCUCAGAUAAAUAACCAGGCCAAAGCCAGCCCGAGUCACGUGAGACCCCGAGUCACCAAAAAAUGGGGAGGGCCUUGAGGAACUGGCUUGAUCCUUCCACAUUUAAGCACUCAGCAGCAAGAAGGUGCCAUUGAAGACGUAGGUACCCAGGAGCCAGUGAGAUGGCUCAGUGAGUAAAAGACGGUCGCUGCCAAGCCUGAAGAUCUCAAUUUGACCUCUUGAACCCAUACGGGGGAGGAAGAAAAUUGAAUCUGAAAAUUGUACUUCACACACACACACACACACACACACACACACACACACACACACACCCCAAAUUCAUGUUAAAAAAAGAAAGUAGAGGCCUUUACCAGACCAUGUAUCCUCUAGCCUUUAUCCUGAACUUCCUACCUCCCGAACCCUGUGCAAAAAACUGUGAGUCGUUUAUAAAUCGCCCAGUCUAAGGUAGCACACUGCUGCACCUAGUUAUUUCAUGCCGCUCUUCUUCUGUGUAAAAGUGAGCCUGUAGGGCUGUCACGGGACAAUCAAGACCUUCUGAACUGACUGAAGCUGAGUUGGCCACUCAACUACUGCCCGGUUCCUAGGAUAAAUAUCAGUGGUGCCAGGGGUUAAAAGUAGGUCGGGCACACAUUUGGUGUGUUACAACUUUCAUGUCAGUGUGGUCUCCUGUGAAAGUUCCCUAGCCACAAGGAACCACAACAUCCCACAUCUGCUUCUGGAGGCAUUGGAGCAGGCACGUUCUCUACUUCGGACACUAUAAGUGACAGACAGAAGCAUUACAAAGAGUGUGUGAGGGUUUCACAAGGGCAAGGUAGGGUCCGCCCAUUUCUUCAGGGUCAAGGCUUCACUGAGCAGGAGGAGUACAUGUCAAGGAUGGCCUGUGAGCUUGUUAGAUUGUCAUGCUACCUCAUGUGGGAAGAGUGGAGCGUCAGUCUUUCUAGCCAACCAUGUCUUGAAACAGUCUCAUCUUGGCCAUUUAACAGACGCCAUCCAUCUCUCUAGGGGCUGGACAUCUCUCAGUGGUUAGGACCACUGGGUGCUCUUGUAGAGGACCUAAGUUCAAUUCCCAGCACCCACAUGGCAGCUUACAAACAUCUAUAACUCCAGGACAGGAGAUACAACACCUACUUCUGGCCUCUACGGUCACAGCAUGCGUGUGGUUCACAGACAUAGAUACAGACAACACAUGCCUACACAUGAAAUAAAGCAUUUUACAUCUUAACCUCUCUAACAUGUCUCCUGCUGAUUGAAAACCCUCACAAAGGAGUGUGAUAAAGGUUUUUAAAAUGUUAUAUAUAGCCAUCUUUGGGGCCUUAAUUACCAGUGAGAGAACUUCUAAAGCUAACGAGUCAUCCCGUGGUAUGUAUUAAAGUGUUCUAAACAUAUAGGCAUCAUACUUAGAAACAAAAGCAUUUCAAAUACCGGCAUUUCAAAUACAUAGUCAUGCAGAAUUACAUUCGUUUCGUGGUGAGACAGGAGUUGCAUACGGUGAAAAGCAGAAGUCCCCUUUCAAUGGUAGAGGCAGAGAAACAGGAACUCAAAGAGAAGGUGGGCAGAAAAGAGAGAAAGCACAGAUGCUGCUGGGGCCUGGGAAGUCACUGCAGAUGCCAACGUGUGCUUAAACACAAAGUGGGCUUGUGUUUGUUUUCCUGUUUCGGGCUGUUCCACCAUCACUGGGCUCACAAGAACUAAUUUUAGCCCUCCUCCUGUAACACCCCACUUUAGAUGGGAUCGUUUAUUCUGCUGUCAGCACAAAUGUAAAAAUUAGGAACACACCUGACUGCACCUGUACUUACCCACUGGCAGCCACAAUUAGCGGCGAGCAUCCUCCAAAAAUGGCAAAAGCCGUUAAGCAUGCCUGCAAUUAAGUAAUUGUGGGCAUCAUUAGUUACGUUGUUAGUCGCAUGAGUAACUUUUGUGGUCGCCAUGGCUACCCCCGAUACAAAAUUACCUACCUGACAAGGGAGCACUAGGGAUAAA
This 2713-nucleotide small RNA is filed under the name Rattus norvegicus (Norway rat). Its description in RNAcentral is "uncharacterized LOC102551410". The record is from RNAcentral. Lineage: Eukaryota; Metazoa; Chordata; Mammalia; Rodentia; Muridae.